Non-coding RNA from Paramisgurnus dabryanus, 1550 nucleotides. NCBI's taxonomy places the organism in Eukaryota, Metazoa, Chordata, Actinopteri, Cypriniformes, Cobitidae. The record is from RefSeq and is a predicted model, not a curated record.
ACUUUUUAUCUAUACUGAUUUACGAUAAAACCUUGUAAUACUUUCAGCUAAUUUUGACGCCCCAUGUUAAGUUGCUACUGCCUAACGUAACAGUACAUCCAUAGACUGUGAGUACAUCGCAUAUUUUAGGUUAAACAAAUUAACAUACUUCCAAUAAUGCAUUGACACCCUUUACAACGCUUUUAAAACCUCCCAUCGACACAUUUAGAUGUUCUCAAUCGCCCAAACUUUCAUAAACAAGCGCUAAAACUAUAGCGCUAGCACCAUGCUAACGGAAAUGCUAACGGACUUUUCUCGAAGACACAAGCCAUUUCAAUGAGUGUGUCCUGGUAAACGUGUGCUCGGAAACAUGCAGAUUACAGUAUUUACAGAGCCGACCUUGAGUCACCCACUGAUGGAUAAUCUGUUUACCUAAAAACAGCCCACCACAAUCAAUGUUUACCAGCUGUGAAAGUGCAGGCCAAAAAUCUUCCUUCACCUGUGGGCCUCUACCCACAUGUAGAUAAGCACUUCAGGAGAAACCUGCCUGUGAUCUGCUAAGAUGCACAGAUUCAACUCUGGCCCAUUGUCAUCCCAACACCUCAUCUGCCAUCAGUUUCGUUUAGUGUCGGUCUAUUGCAAAAGUUCUUAUAAACUUUAAAUGAGACUUUGUGUUAAGCAGGGGUUUCCAAACUUUUCAUUCCACAACAUAUUAAGCCCAGGAUACACAGCAGGAUUUUUGCAAUCCAAUAAGACCUUAUCACACUGUGUGACAAGGAUUGUUUAAACUUCAGCAGUAGACUGUCGAUGAAGACACCUAUUGCAUCUGAAGCUGCGACAUCUGUCAUCAACAUGCGCUAGUGGUAAACAAAUACAGGUAUGCAGGUCGUAGAAGCAAACACAUUGUUGAUGUGCGAUGAUCAUGCUGAACUUCUUACACUGUCAUAAAACUAUCGUAGGUGUCUUUGGUCCCAGGACUGGGAAAACAGAUGUCUUUAAACCUCUCACACUGUAUGAGAUAGGACCACCAAUUAAGAGCCACGAUCACAGAAAUCUCCACGAUUGUUUCACGAUUGGUAAUCUUUCAUCUGGGACAGCCAAAAAUCGUGCCGUGUAUUAUGGGCUUUAGACAGGUGUAAUCUUAUAGUAUAUCAAAACCAUUGCUAAUAAUUAAUUGGACAAACCAUCACUACAAUGCAACACUCACUAUCUUACGGUGCGACCCACAAGUGGGUCUUCACCCACAGUUUAAAAACCCUGAGUAUGAGAAAGACUAUGUUGUAUUGUAAUUAAAGUCACAUCUAAGUGUUAUGGAACAGUUUGUCAUUAUAUUCACAGUAUUACAUGGUUCUUUCAGCAGUUACUACGUUACAGUGCUCUUAAAGUGUCCUGAUCAGCUUUGGGUCUUGUGAAGUAAUGUAAUGAGAACGUGAUCAAUAGCUUUGCAGUAUUUUGUUACACUGUGGCUGUAAUCAUAUUAACACAUAGGUUAAACAUUUUAUUCAAAUUUGGUAAACAAACUAGUCAAUAUAAUUCAUGCUGUGAUGCUGGAUUAAACCUGGUCAAAUGAU